RNAcentral lists this ribosomal RNA (465 nucleotides) under Vreelandella stevensii. RNAcentral describes it as "partial 16S ribosomal RNA". It matches the Rfam family "Bacterial small subunit ribosomal RNA", at positions 338 to 795 of the family's 1533-position model. The record is from RNAcentral. Lineage: Bacteria; Pseudomonadati; Pseudomonadota; Gammaproteobacteria; Oceanospirillales; Halomonadaceae.
CCUACGGGGGGCAGCAGUGGGGAAUAUUGGACAAUGGGGGGAACCCUGAUCCAGCCAUGCCGCGUGUGUGAAGAAGGCCCUCGGGUUGUAAAGCACUUUCAGUGAGGAAGAACGCCUGGUGGUUAAUACCCAUCAGGAAAGACAUCACUCACAGAAGAAGCACCGGCUAACUCCGUGCCAGCAGCCGCGGUAAUAUGGAGGGUGCGAGCGUUAAUCGGAAUUACUGGGCGUAAAGCGCGCGUAGGUGGCUUGAUAAGCCGGUUGUGAAAGCCCCGGGCUCAACCUGGGAACGGCAUCCGGAACUGUCAAGCUAGAGUGCAGGAGAGGAAGGUAGAAUUCCCGGUGUAGCGGUGAAAUGCGUAGAGAUCGGGAGGAAUACCAGUGGCGAAGGCGGCCUUCUGGACUGACACUGACACUGAGGUGCGAAAGCGUGGGUAGCAAACAGGAUUAGAUACCCCGGUAGUC